Molecule: ribosomal RNA, 742 nt
Filed under: Shigella flexneri
Lineage: Bacteria; Pseudomonadati; Pseudomonadota; Gammaproteobacteria; Enterobacterales; Enterobacteriaceae
Description: partial 23S ribosomal RNA
Rfam family: Bacterial large subunit ribosomal RNA
Source: RNAcentral
ACCGAACCGACUAAUGUUGAAAAAUUAGCGGAUGACUUGUGGCUGGGGGUGAAAGGCCAAUCAAACCGGGAGAUAGCUGGUUCUCCCCGAAAGCUAUUUAGGUAGCGCCUCGUGAAUUCAUCUCCGGGGGUAGAGCACUGUUUCGGCAAGGGGGUCAUCCCGACUUACCAACCCGAUGCAAACUGCGAAUACCGGAGAAUGUUAUCACGGGAGACACACGGCGGGUGCUAACGUCCGUCGUGAAGAGGGAAACAACCCAGACCGCCAGCUAAGGUCCCAAAGUCAUGGUUAAGUGGGAAACGAUGUGGGAAGGCCCAGACAGCCAGGAUGUUGGCUUAGAAGCAGCCAUCAUUUAAAGAAAGCGUAAUAGCUCACUGGUCGAGUCGGCCUGCGCGGAAGAUGUAACGGGGCUAAACCAUGCACCGAAGCUGCGGCAGCGACGCUUAUGCGUUGUUGGGUAGGGGAGCGUUCUGUAAGCCUGUGAAGGUGUACUGUGAGGUAUGCUGGAGGUAUCAGAAGUGCGAAUGCUGACAUAAGUAACGAUAAAGCGGGUGAAAAGCCCGCUCGCCGGAAGACCAAGGGUUCCUGUCCAACGUUAAUCGGGGCAGGGUGAGUCGACCCCUAAGGCGAGGCCGAAAGGCGUAGUCGAUGGGAAACAGGUUAAUAUUCCUGUACUUGGUGUUACUGCGAAGGGGGGACGGAGAAGGCUAUGUUGGCCGGGCGACGGUUGUCCCGGUUUAAG